UCCCUGGUAGUCCAGUGGUUAGGACUCAGCACUCUCACUGCUGUGGCCCGGGUUCAACCCCUGGUUAGGGAA
Non-coding RNA from Lipotes vexillifer (Yangtze River dolphin), 72 nucleotides. The record is from the annotation of a RefSeq genome assembly. Lineage: Eukaryota; Metazoa; Chordata; Mammalia; Artiodactyla; Lipotidae.